Dreissena polymorpha is the source of this 1110-nucleotide long non-coding RNA. RefSeq lists it as uncharacterized. The record is from RefSeq and is a predicted model, not a curated record. NCBI's taxonomy places the organism in Eukaryota, Metazoa, Mollusca, Bivalvia, Myida, Dreissenidae. The transcript is spliced from 4 exons.
UAACCCGGAUGAAAACUCGACUGGUUUCCGGUAAUUAAUUGACGAAACACCCUUCUCGCGCAAGACCGGAAUCCAGUAAAAUAGUCACAUGAUUAAUACGAUUAGUUGCCCGGUUUCCAUGACGUAAUUUAAGAGCUAUAUAUAGAAUCACUGGGAUUCCCAGAUUUGAGUGUUCGUCGGAAGAGAGAGAGAGCGAGAGCGUUGUACAUGGUACAAAUUGGAUAAGUGUCGACUUCCCAAAAGAAAGAAAAACAUUUCCUUGAGGAGUAAGACACUUCUGAUACCUACUUGUGACAUGCUGUGAGCGACUCGAAGUGAAAUGAUACAUGGGAUCUUCUUCAAUGUACUUGCAAGGAUCUGCCUGAGUUGAGGAAUCCAAGGGAUGUGAAGAGCACGAACAUGCUGACUGACUUCCUUGGUAUCUGUCGCUGUGAAGGCACAGAAUUUACACCGGUCUACGAACAUGAAAACAUAGACGGUGAAGCUGUCGAUGAUGUUGCUGAUGAUGAUUGACAUUUACACGAACCAAUUGUCCAGGAACGUGUUAAUAGUUUUCUAGACAGCAGGACAAUACUUAAAGACAAUCAUGGGGACCACACAACAGGUCCAGAAGUUGAGAACACAAAAGAUCCAGAAGUUGAAAGAAUCGGAGCAUUUAAAAGGUUGUGGAUGUACCAUUAAUUGCUAUGAACAAUAUACCACCGCGGUAUUGUACAGUCACAUCCUUGAUAAAAAAGAUCACAGAAAGUGGAGAACAAUACGAUGCAGUACAUAAUGCAGUUAUAAUGAUGAGGCCAAAAGAAAAGGCAGCGUUUGUCGUAUGAAUACCGUUUUAACAAUGAAAAUGUGUUCACAAUCUUUUUCAUAAGGACUUCAGAAAAUGAUCAAGUUCAUGGAAACCAUUGUAAUAUUGGUAAGAGAUAUUAUCUUUUUAAGACACACUGAACACUGAAAAUAUUAUUUUGAAACAACAUUAAAUACUAAACUUGUCUAUCUGCGUUACCUUUGUGGUGGUCACCGGGGGGGGGGGGGGCAUCUGUAUCUAUGUUGGGACCGAAACAUAAUGCGUCAUAGUCAUUCACGUACUCGAUGAUAUGGUCAUCAUGAGUU